UAACGGGGAAUCAGGGUUCGAUUCCGGAGAGGGAGCCUGAGAAAUGGCUACCACGUCCAAGGAUGGCAGCAGGCGCGCAAAUUACCCACUCCCAGCUUGGGGAGGUAGUGACGAAAAAUAACAAUGCGGGACUCUAAGAGGCCCCGUAAUUGGAAUGAGUACACCUUAAAUCGUUUAACGAGUAUCAAUUGGAGGGCAAGUCUGGUGCCAGCAGCCGCGGUAAUUCCAGCUCCAAUAGCGUAUAUUAAAGUUGCUGCAGUUAAAAAGCUCGUAGUUGGAUCUGGGGCUUGAGGUCGCUGUCUAUCGUUUCGGCGAUGACGGUGAUGCUCAGCUCUGCUUGCCGGUGACUGUUGCGGUGUUCUUCACUGAGCGCUGUAGCAGCACGGCACGUUUACUUUGAAAAAAUUAGAGUGCUCAAAGCGUGCUUGUCGCUUGAAUAAUGUUGCAUGGAAUAAUGGAAUAGGACCUCGGUUCUAUUUUGUUGGUUUUCGGAGCUUGAGGUAAUGAUUAAGAGGGACGAACGGGGGCAUUCGUAUUGCGGUGUUAGAGGUGAAAUUCUUGGAUCGCCGCAAGACGGACUACUGCGAAAGCAUUUGCCAAGAACGCUUUCAUUAAUUAAGAACGAAAGUCAGAGGUUCGAAGACGAUCAGACACCGUCCUAGUUCUGACCAUAAACGAUGCCGACCAGCGAUCCGUAGUGGUUGCUUUAUGGACCCUACGGGCAGCCUCCGGGAAACCAAAGUAUUUGGGUUCCGGGGGAAGUAUGGUUGCAAAGCUGAAACUUAAAGGAAUUGACGGAAGGGCACACCAGGAGUGGAGCCUGCGGCUUAAUUUGACCCAACACGGGAAAACUCACCCGGUCCGGACACCGUAAGGAUUGACAGACUGAUAGCUCUUUCUUGAUUCGGUGGAUGGUGGUGCAUGGCCGUUCUUAGUUGGUGGAGUGAUUUGUCUGGUUAAUUCCGAUAACGAACGAGACUCUAGCCUGCUAAGUAGUGUUGCUAUUGUUAUAUGGUUGACACUUCUUAGAGGGACAAGUGGCAUUUAGCCACGCGAAAUUGAGCAAUAACAGGUCUGUGAUGCCCUUAGAUGUCCGGGGCCGCACGCGCGCUACACUGGAGAAGUCAGCGUGUGUUAUCCAAGUCCGAAAGGACUGGGUAAUCCGUUGAACCUUCUUCGUGCUUGGGACUGUGGCUUGGAACUAUUCCACAUGAACGAGGAAUUCCUAGUAAUUGCAAGUCAUAAGCUUGCGUUGAUUACGUCCCUGCCCUUUGUACACACCGCCCGUCGCUACUACCGAUUGAAUGGUUUAGCAAGGUCCUCGGAUCGUGGCCGUAGGGGCACGCAAGUGUUUCUGCGGUUUGCGAGAAGACGACCAAACUUGAUCAUUUAGAGGAAGUAAAAGUCGUAACAAGGUU
This 1418-nucleotide ribosomal RNA is filed under the name metagenome. RNAcentral describes it as "SSU rRNA". It matches the Rfam family "Eukaryotic small subunit ribosomal RNA", at positions 360 to 1801 of the family's 1831-position model. The record is from RNAcentral.